This 537-nucleotide ribosomal RNA is filed under the name uncultured bacterium. RNAcentral's name for it is "bacterial SSU rRNA". It matches the Rfam family "Bacterial small subunit ribosomal RNA", at positions 777 to 1307 of the family's 1533-position model. The record is from RNAcentral.
AAUAGAUACCCUGGUAGUCCACGCCGUAAACGGUGGGCACUAGGUGUGGGCGACAUUCCACGUCGUCCGUGCCGCAGCUAACGCAUUAAGUGCCCCGCCUGGGGAGUACGGCCGCAAGGCUAAAACUCAAAGGAAUUGACGGGGGCCCGCACAAGCGGCGGAGCAUGUGGCUUAAUUCGACGCAACGCGAAGAACCUUACCAAGGCUUGACAUACACCGGAAACGUCCAGAGAUGGGCGCCCCCUUGUGGUCGGUGUACAGGUGGUGCAUGGCUGUCGUCAGCUCGUGUCGUGAGACGUUGGGUUAAGUCCCGCAACGAGCGCAACCCUUGUCCCGUGUUGCCAGCAGGCCCUUGUGGUGCUGGGGACUCACGGGAGACCGCCGGGGUCAACUCGGAGGAAGGUGGGGACGACGUCAAGUCAUCAUGCCCCUUAUGUCUUGGGCUGCACACGUGCUGCAAUGGCCGGUACAAUGAGCUGCGAUACCGCGAGGUGGAGCGAAUCUCAAAAAGCCGGUCUCAGUUCGGAUUGGGGUCUG